AACAUAGCCUUUAGCUAAACCAGUAUUAAAGGUAAUGCCUGCCCAGUGAAAUAUUUUAACGGCCGCGGUAUCCUAACCGUGCAAAGGUAGCGUAAUCACUUGUCUUUUAAAUAAAGACUAGUAUGAACGGCUAAAUGAGGAUACAUCUGUCUCUCCUAAUGAACCAGUGAAACUGAUCUUCAAGUACAAAAGCUUGAAUAAAACCAUAAGACGAGAAGACCCUGUGGAGCUUAAAAUCAAUACUAUAACCAAAAUAAGCAUAGAUUCCGAUUUUGAGUUGGGGCGACUUCGGAAUAAAACAAAACUUCCGAGCAUGGGGCCACAACACCCCUACCAAGACCAACAAGUCAAAGAAACACUGACCCAGUCUUACUGAAUAACGAACCAAGUUACCCCAGGGAUAACAGCGCCAUCUUCUUCAAGAGUCCCUAUCGACAAGAAGGUUUACGACCUCGAUGUUGGAUCAGGACACCCAAAUGGUGUAGCAGCUAUUAAAGGUUCGUUUGUUCAACGAUUAACAGUCCUACGUGAUCUGAGUUCAGACCGGAGCAAUCC
RNAcentral lists this ribosomal RNA (555 nucleotides) under Emoia jakati. Its description in RNAcentral is "partial 16S ribosomal RNA". It matches the Rfam family "Bacterial large subunit ribosomal RNA", at positions 1812 to 2627 of the family's 2925-position model. The record is from RNAcentral. Lineage: Eukaryota; Metazoa; Chordata; Lepidosauria; Squamata; Scincidae.